AACGAACGCUGGCGGCGCGUCUUAAACAUGCAAGUCGAACGGCAGGAAGGGGCUUGCCCCUUCUGAGAGUGGCGGACGGGUGAGUAACACGUGGGUGACAUACCUUUUAGCUGGGGAUAGCGAUUAGAAAUAGUAGGUAAUACAGAAUGUGACCGUACCUGUUAGAGGGGUACGAGGAAAGGAGCUAAGGCUUAGCUACAAGAAUGGCCAGGGGACCAUUAUGCUCGUUGGUGAAGUAACGGCCCACCAAGACGAUGAUGGGUAUCCGACCUGAGAGGGUGAACGGACACAUUGGGACUGAGAUACGGCCCACACUUCUACGGGAGGCAGCAGUUAAGAAUAUUCCGCAAUGGACGAAAGUCUGACGGAGCGACGCCGCGUGGAUGAAGAAUGCCGAAAGGUUGUAAAAUCCUUUUAAGCCUGAUGAAUAAGCACAGUAGGGAAUGAUUGUGCGGUGACCGUAGGGCUUGAAUAAGCACCGGCUAAUUACGUG
This 493-nucleotide ribosomal RNA is filed under the name uncultured bacterium. RNAcentral describes it as "partial 16S ribosomal RNA". It matches the Rfam family "Bacterial small subunit ribosomal RNA", at positions 29 to 507 of the family's 1533-position model. The record is from RNAcentral.